UACAGAGGGUGCGAGCGUUAAUCGGAAUUACUGGGCGUAAAGCGUGCGUAGACGGUUAUUUAAGUCGGAUGUGAAAGCCCCGGGCUCAACCUGGGAAUUGCAUUCGAGACUGAAUAGCUAGGGUACGGUAGAGGGAAGCGGAAUUUCCGGUGUAGCGGUGAAAUGCGUAGAUAUCGGAAGGAACAUCAGUGGCGAAAGCGGCUUCCUGGACCAAUACUGACGAUCAGGUGCGAAAGCGUGGGGAGCAAACAGG
This 253-nucleotide ribosomal RNA is filed under the name uncultured bacterium. RNAcentral's name for it is "partial 16S ribosomal RNA". It matches the Rfam family "Bacterial small subunit ribosomal RNA", at positions 524 to 776 of the family's 1533-position model. The record is from RNAcentral.